GCCGGGAUAGCUCAGUUGGUAGAGCGACUGAUUUGUAAUCAGUUGGUCGCGGGUUCAAAUCCUGUUCCCGGCUCCA
Molecule: transfer RNA, 76 nt
Filed under: Candidatus Omnitrophota bacterium
Lineage: Bacteria; Pseudomonadati; Candidatus Omnitrophota
Description: tRNA-Thr
Rfam family: tRNA
About the family: Transfer RNA (tRNA) molecules are approximately 80 nucleotides in length. Their secondary structure includes four short double-helical elements and three loops (D, anti-codon, and T loops).
Source: RNAcentral